AGUGAACGCUGGCGGUAGGCCUAACACAUGCAAGUCGAACGGCAGCACAGUAAGAGCUUGCUCUUACGGGUGGCGAGUGGCGGACGGGUGAGGAAUACAUCGGAAUCUACUUUUUCGUGGGGGAUAACGUAGGGAAACUUACGCUAAUACCGCAUACGACCUACGGGUGAAAGCAGGGGAUCUUCGGACCUUGCGCGAUUGAAUGAGCCGAUGUCGGAUUAGCUAGUUGGCGGGGUAAAGGCCCACCAAGGCGACGAUCCGUAGCUGGUCUGAGAGGAUGAUCAGCCACACUGGAACUGAGACACGGUCCAGACUCCUACGGGAGACAGCAGUGGGGAAUAUUGGACAAUGGGCGCAAGCCUGAUCCAGCCAUACCGCAUGGGUGAAGAAGGCCUUCGGGUUGUAAAGCCCUUUUGUUGGGAAAGAAAAGCAGCAGGUUAAUACCCCGCUGUUCUGACGGUACCCAAAGAAUAAGCACCGGCUAACUUCGUG
RNAcentral lists this ribosomal RNA (492 nucleotides) under uncultured bacterium. RNAcentral describes it as "partial 16S ribosomal RNA". It matches the Rfam family "Bacterial small subunit ribosomal RNA", at positions 29 to 507 of the family's 1533-position model. The record is from RNAcentral.